UGCCAUUUUUUUCGCUAAACAAUUUUCACAAGUUGAUAGAUUAACUGUUUCAAUUGGGCAUAAUAAUCCCUCUAUAGCUAAUCUAUCCAUUUGGUGUUGUCCUAUAUGGCCUAAUCUAGUAUGCGAUACAUCCACAUCAACAUCAUUAAAAGAUGUAAUAAAGAAAGAGCAAACAUUAUAUAUAUCACUACAUAAAAUG
This 199-nucleotide long non-coding RNA is filed under the name Elaeis guineensis (African oil palm). Its description in RNAcentral is "long non-coding RNA (EGUI_LNC014906)". The record is from RNAcentral. Lineage: Eukaryota; Viridiplantae; Streptophyta; Magnoliopsida; Arecales; Arecaceae.